Molecule: ribosomal RNA, 253 nt
Filed under: uncultured bacterium
Lineage: Bacteria
Description: partial 16S ribosomal RNA
Rfam family: Bacterial small subunit ribosomal RNA
Source: RNAcentral
UACAGAGGUCCCAAGCGUUGUUCGGAUUCAUUGGGCGUAAAGGGUGCGUAGGCGGCUUACUAAGUCAGGGGUGAAAUCCUGGAGCUCAACUCCAGAACUGCCUUUGAUACUGGUGAGCUUGAGUCCGGAAGAGGUGAGUGGAACUGCGAGUGUAGAGGUGAAAUUCGUAGAUAUUCGCAAGAACACCAGUGGCGAAGGCGGCUCACUGGUCCGGUACUGACGCUGAGGUGCGAAAGCGUGGGGAGCAAACAGG